This 468-nucleotide ribosomal RNA is filed under the name uncultured bacterium. Its description in RNAcentral is "partial 16S ribosomal RNA". It matches the Rfam family "Bacterial small subunit ribosomal RNA", at positions 28 to 507 of the family's 1533-position model. The record is from RNAcentral.
GACGAACGCUGGCGGCGUGCUUAACACAUGCAAGUCGAACGGAAAGGCCCUGCUUUUGUGGGGUGCUCGAGUGGCGAACGGGUGAGUAACACGUGAGUAACCUGCCCUUGACUUUGGGAUAACUUCAGGAAACUGGGGCUAAUACCGGAUAGGAGCUCCUGCUGCAUGGUGGGGGUUGGAAAGUUUCGGCGGUUGGGGAUGGACUCGCGGCUUAUCAGUUUGUUGGUGGGGUAGUGGCUUACCAAGGCUUUGACGGGUAGCCGGCCUGAGAGGGUGACCGGCCACAUUGGGACUGAGAUACGGCCCAGACUCCUACGGGAGGCAGCAGUGGGGAAUAUUGCACAAUGGGCGGAAGCCUGAUGCAGCAACGCCGCGUGCGGGAUGACGGCCUUCGGGUUGUAAACCGCUUUCGCCUGUGGCGAAGCGUGAGUGACGGUAAUGGGUAAAGAAGCACCGGCUAACUACGUG